CACAAGCUGUGAGAUCAUGACCUGAGCCGAAGUCAGACGCUGAACCGACUGAGCCACCCAGUCAUUAGGUAACUGUGGAGGACACUGCUGGCUGAUUCCAUGCUGAUUCUCUUCUUUCUGCACACUCGUCCUUUGUGGCUCGUUGUGGCACAAGACUGUGUUCCUGCCAAAGUACCGUGAGCGGAAGUGGAUCCCAACUGGGCAGCCCUGCAGGACAAAUACACUUUCCAUCAGGCCAUAUGAUCACUCCCGGUCCUCACAUUUCAAGAUGACUGCUGACUGUCUCCCUGUCUUUGCAAAGGAUGAUACCAAGGUCAGUAUGCAGAGGGCAUAAGGACCGUGAAACUCAUAAAGCUUCAAGGGCCCCUCAUUGAUGAGGCCCAUUCCAAAGGCAUAGGAGAGUCUCCAGCUUUGUGUUCACAUGAGUAUAAGUUUUUGUAAAGAUUUUAAAAUAGUAUUUUAACCACAAUCCGUUAAGGCACUGUCUUUUUCCUCUCUCCUUGGGUCAGGUGACUUUAACAUGGCUGUGAACUGUUUGGGAUCCUGCAAAGGGGAUGUAAACUUGGAGAUAACUGAGUUUGGCUUAGUGGGAUAUAUUUAUGUGGUUUUCAGGUGCCUGCAUGUGGAGUCAAGUUAGUGUUAGCUCUCCCGCUGUAGAAGGCUUUCCAAAAUUCUCCUCCCACUCACUGCGGCGACUCAGUAAAGUGACACUGGGUGCAGGGCCAGAGGCUGUGCCCCAUUAUGCAUGUGCCCCUCAGCACCCACUCUGAAACUAGGGGGAAGUGAAAAGACACAAGUUUCCAAGUGCACCCAGAUGCAAGUCUGUGAAACAUUCUUUGAAUCACCAGAUGUGUCAAACCACAAAUGGAGAAUUUUGUGUUCAUCAACUCUGUCAGAAUGGAAGCUCCCUUCUGUCAGAAAUAUAUUUUAGUAAUGUAGCAUGUACACUGAUAAACACUCCUUACAUUCUCUUAUAUCAUGAGGGGAAGUCUCAUAAAAUAGAAUUUCAUCUGAAUCCUUGUGUUUAUAGGGCACACACCUGUAACAGUAGUACAAACACUGAGCUCAUUCUGAAUGCAAAGCUGUAUGUUUUCUGCAUGCAUAUCAGAUCACGUUUUUGUGAAUCUGAUAUACCUUGUUCCGAUGAAGGCUGGUGGAUGCAGACAAAGCAGCGUGCAAGCAACAGCCUGAUGAAACAAGUGUUUCCCUGAACAAAAGUCCUAUAUGUAUUCAUCUUGGAAUCAUUGUGUAGCGUAAGAGUAAUUUAUUGUAUUAUGGGACUCAAUGCAAUAGAAUAACUUAUGAAGCUGAAAGUAACUUUCCUAACCAUUAAUGAAUAAUGCAAAACAAUUUUUUUUAUAAAAGAAAGACUGAAUUUUGUUUUCUCUUUAGAAAAAUUAUACAAUUGUUAUUGCAUGAAGAGUUAAUCAGAGCAUAUGGAGCCAAAAACUGUGUGGGAAGAAUGUAUUAUAGAGAUGUGUCAGGCAAUUAUUUAAUAAGAAUGUGAUAUUUAUGAGUUCUGUGAUCCUGGUAGGAUUAGUCAACUUUGUUAUAUUUGAAAUUUGUUGUAUGUUCUUCAGUCUAAAGAAAUAUUCACUUUUGUAUCAAAUUUUAUAUUCCUCCUUUUGUAUUUUUUUUUCUUAAAGAAGACCCUCCUCCCCUCCCCCCAGAUUAUAUGUGUUAAGCCCCAUAUAAUCAGAAACUGGCCGUGUUAACACAUAAUGAUGAUUGACAUGACUUGUUCAUCGUUUUUUUGAAAGCCAACUGCAGGGAGGGCAACGUGGUAGGGACUAUAAUUAUGGUAUAAAGUGGGAAGAGCCCUUGGUUGGAGUUAAGGGUCCAGAAAGAGAAAGAGAGGGAGGGAGAGAGAGAGAG
Long non-coding RNA from Felis catus (domestic cat), 1875 nucleotides. RefSeq lists it as uncharacterized. The record is from RefSeq and is a predicted model, not a curated record. The transcript has 3 exons. NCBI's taxonomy places the organism in Eukaryota, Metazoa, Chordata, Mammalia, Carnivora, Felidae.